GCGUUGUAUAAUCAUGUAACAACUGCUCUUAUUCAAGCACCGCGAAAAAAGAAAAAAAAAAGAACUUUGAAAAAUAACACCUACAUUAUUACUACUUCAUCUCCAACAUAUCUGAUAGGGAACUCAUUACCUGUAAGACGACAGUUCAAAUCAAAAGCUGAAAAGAAGAUUAGAAAUCAGAGCAGCGGCCACCACGCUCCCAGUCACCAUAGCGGGUGGGUUCAGGACCUUUAGGGCCUCCAAUCUCACCAGUCUUUUUGUUAACAUUAGAAGUAUCCUCUUCGUCAUUGUUGUCCUCAAGUUUAAUAUUCCCUUCAUUUUCGUAAUCAACCUUCUCCUUCUCAUCCAAAGUAUGAGCAUCAUGCUCUUCAUCAUGAUCCUGGUUGAUUUGCUCUCCUUGAGUUGAAGAGC
RNAcentral lists this unclassified non-coding RNA (411 nucleotides) under Hevea brasiliensis (rubber tree). The record is from RNAcentral. Lineage: Eukaryota; Viridiplantae; Streptophyta; Magnoliopsida; Malpighiales; Euphorbiaceae.